ACCUGCGUGUGAUUGGCUGACCAGGUCUGAGGUAACACUGACCUGCGUGUGAUUGGCUGACCAGGUCUGAGGUAACACUGACCUGCGUGUGAUUGGCAGACCAGGUCUGAGGUAACACUGACCUGCGUGUGAUUGGCUGACCAGGUCUGAGGUAACGCUGACCUGCGUGCGAUUGGCUGACCAGGUCACAGGUUAAAAAAGUCGAGGGAAAGAACAGCACUGGCCAUGUACUGUACGGGCCCUGGUCCAACGUUCAGAACUAUAGUGGGAACAUCAUGGACGACAUGUAGA
Long non-coding RNA from Oncorhynchus keta (chum salmon), 291 nucleotides. RefSeq lists it as uncharacterized. NCBI's taxonomy places the organism in Eukaryota, Metazoa, Chordata, Actinopteri, Salmoniformes, Salmonidae. The transcript has 3 exons. The record is from RefSeq and is a predicted model, not a curated record.